This 31-nucleotide non-coding RNA is filed under the name Rattus norvegicus (Norway rat). Lineage: Eukaryota; Metazoa; Chordata; Mammalia; Rodentia; Muridae. The record is from RNAcentral.
UAGGAUGGCACCAUUGCUACUCUUAAGAGGU